RNAcentral lists this ribosomal RNA (794 nucleotides) under uncultured Methanosarcinaceae archaeon. RNAcentral describes it as "bacterial SSU rRNA". It matches the Rfam family "Archaeal small subunit ribosomal RNA", at positions 85 to 879 of the family's 1478-position model. Lineage: Archaea; Methanobacteriati; Methanobacteriota; Methanomicrobia; Methanosarcinales; Methanosarcinaceae. The record is from RNAcentral.
ACUGCUCAGUAACACGUGGACAACCUACCCAAAGGUCUGGGAUAACUCCGGGAAACUGGGGAUAAUACCGGAUAGGUCAAGAGUACUGGAAGGGUUUUUUGAUUGAAGGCUCUGGCGCCUUUGGAUGGGUCUGCGGCUGAUUAGGUUGACGCCGGUGUAAAGUACCGGCGUGCCGAUUAUCAGUACGGGUUGUGGGAGCAAGAGCCCGGAGAUGGAUUCUGAGACACGAAUCCAGGCCCUACGGGGCGCAGCAGGCGCGAAAACUCUACAAUGCAGGCAACUGCGAUAGGGGAACAUCGAGUGGCAUCUACAUUAGGUGUCUGUCCAGCUGUCUAAAAAACGGCUGUUAGCAAGGGCCGGGCAAGACCGGUGCCAGCCGCCGCGGUAAUACCGGCGGCUCGAGUGGUGGCCGAUAUUAUUGAGUCUAAAGGGUCCGUAGCCGGCUUUGCAAGUCUUGUGGGAAAUCCAGCGGCUUAACCGUUGGGCGUCUGCGGGAUACUACAUUGCUUGGGACUGGGAGAGGUAGGAGGUACUCAGGGGGUAGGAGUGAAAUCCUGUAAUCCUCUGGGGACCACCGGUGGCGAAGGCGUCCUACCAGAACAGGUCCGACGGUGAGGGACGAAAGCUAGGGGCACGAACCGGAUUAGAUACCCGGGUAGUCCUAGCCGUAAACGAUGCCCGCUAGGUGUCACGGCAGUCGUGAACUGCCGUGGUGCCGUAGGGAAGCCGUGAAGCGGGCCACUUGGGAAGUACGACCGCAAGGUUGAAACUUAAAGGAAUUGGCGGGGGAGCAC